This 148-nucleotide signal recognition particle RNA is filed under the name Homo sapiens (human). RNAcentral's name for it is "Metazoan signal recognition particle RNA". It matches the Rfam family "Metazoan signal recognition particle RNA". Rfam says of the family: The signal recognition particle (SRP) is a universally conserved ribonucleoprotein. It is involved in the co-translational targeting of proteins to membranes. Lineage: Eukaryota; Metazoa; Chordata; Mammalia; Primates; Hominidae. The record is from Rfam by way of RNAcentral.
GCCGGGUGUGGUGGCACACGCCUGUAAUCCCAGCUACUUGGGAGGCUGAGGCAGGAGAAUCACUUGAACCCAGGAGGCUGAGGUUGUAGUGAGCUGAGAUCAAGCCACUGCACUCCAGCCUGGGCGACAGAGUGAGACUCUGACUCAA